RNAcentral lists this ribosomal RNA (468 nucleotides) under uncultured bacterium. RNAcentral's name for it is "partial 16S ribosomal RNA". It matches the Rfam family "Bacterial small subunit ribosomal RNA", at positions 28 to 507 of the family's 1533-position model. The record is from RNAcentral.
GAUGAACGCUGGCGGCGUGCCUAACACAUGCAAGUCGAACGGACAGACCCUGCUCUUGUUUGGUGCACGUUUGGCGAACGGGUGAGUAACACAUGAGUAAACCGCACUUAACAUACUGAUAAAAUCACGAAACAGGGGCUAAUACCCGGUAGGAUCUUUUGAAGCGUAUUGUGGGAUGGAAAAAUUCGGCGGUUGGGGAUGGACUCGCGGCUUAUCAGCUUGUUGGUGGGGUAGUGGCUUACCAAGGCGUUGACGGGUAGCCGGCCUGAGCGGGUGACCGGCCACAUUGGGACUGAGAUACGGCCCAGACUCCUACGGGAGGCAGCAGUGGGGAAUAUUGCACAAUGGGCGGAAGCCUGAUGCAGCAACGCCGCGUGCGGGAUGACGGCCUUCGGGUUGUAAACCGCUUUCGCCUGUGACGAAGCGUGAGUGACGGUAAUGGGUAAAGAAGCACCGGCUAACUACGUG